This 83-nucleotide transfer RNA is filed under the name Nematostella vectensis (starlet sea anemone). It matches the Rfam family "tRNA". Rfam says of the family: Transfer RNA (tRNA) molecules are approximately 80 nucleotides in length. Their secondary structure includes four short double-helical elements and three loops (D, anti-codon, and T loops). Lineage: Eukaryota; Metazoa; Cnidaria; Anthozoa; Actiniaria; Edwardsiidae. The record is from Rfam by way of RNAcentral.
ACCAGGAUGGCCCAGUGGUUAAGGCGUUGGACUUAAGUUCCAAUGUACGGAUGUACGCGUGGGUUCGAACCCCACUCCUGGUA